GGUGCGAUCGAGUGGUCUCAACUC
RNAcentral lists this non-coding RNA (24 nucleotides) under Arabidopsis thaliana (thale cress). Lineage: Eukaryota; Viridiplantae; Streptophyta; Magnoliopsida; Brassicales; Brassicaceae. The record is from RNAcentral.